Molecule: ribosomal RNA, 253 nt
Filed under: uncultured prokaryote
Description: partial 16S ribosomal RNA
Rfam family: Bacterial small subunit ribosomal RNA
Source: RNAcentral
GACAGAGGGUGCAAACGUUGUUCGGAAUUACUGGGCGUAAAGCGCGUGUAGGCGGCCAUCUAAGUCGGGCGUGAAAUCCCUCGGCUUAACCGGGGAACUGCGUCUGAUACUGGAUGGCUUGAGGUUGGGAGAGGGAUGCGGAAUUCCAGGUGUAGCGGUGAAAUGCGUAGAUAUCUGGAGGAACACCGGUGGCGAAGGCGGCAUCCUGGACCAAUUCUGACGCUGAGGAGCGAAAGCCAGGGGAGCAAACGGG